This 283-nucleotide ribosomal RNA is filed under the name Baetisca lacustris. Its description in RNAcentral is "partial 28S ribosomal RNA". It matches the Rfam family "Eukaryotic large subunit ribosomal RNA", at positions 865 to 1141 of the family's 3401-position model. Lineage: Eukaryota; Metazoa; Arthropoda; Insecta; Ephemeroptera; Baetiscidae. The record is from RNAcentral.
GAAUGGAGGUCCGCAGCGUAUUCUGACGUGCAAAUCGAUCGUCGGAGCUGGGUAUAGGGGCGAAAGACUAAUCGAACCAUCUAGUAGCUGGUUCCCUCCGAAGUUUCCCUCAGGAUAGCUGGCGCUCGCAGAAACGAGUCCCAUCCGGUAAAGCGAAUGAUUAGAGGCCUUGGGGUCGAAACGACCUCAACCUAUUCUCAAACUUUAAAUGGGUGGGAACCGCGGCUUGUUUGAACGUGAAGCCGCGGAUUCGGAUCGGAGUGCCCAGUGGGCCAUUUUUGGU